Molecule: ribosomal RNA, 284 nt
Filed under: uncultured Synechococcus sp.
Lineage: Bacteria; Bacillati; Cyanobacteriota; Cyanophyceae; Synechococcales; Synechococcaceae
Description: partial 16S ribosomal RNA
Rfam family: Bacterial small subunit ribosomal RNA
Source: RNAcentral
AAACUCGCGAGAGCUAGCAAAUCCCAUAAACCGUGGCUCAGUUCAGAUCGUAGGCUGCAACUCGCCUACGUGAAGUAGGAAUCGCUAGUAAUCGCAGGUCAGCAUACUGCGGUGAAUACGUUCCCGGGCCUUGUACACACCGCCCGUCACACCAUGGAAGUUGGCCACGCCCGAAGUCGUUACUCCAACCCUUGUGGAGGAGGACGCCGAAGGUGGGGCUAAUGACUGGGGUGAAGUCGUAACAAGGUAGCCGUACCGGAAGGUGCGGCUGGAUCACCUCCUAA